This 212-nucleotide long non-coding RNA is filed under the name Elaeis guineensis (African oil palm). RNAcentral's name for it is "long non-coding RNA (EGUI_LNC062185)". The record is from RNAcentral. Lineage: Eukaryota; Viridiplantae; Streptophyta; Magnoliopsida; Arecales; Arecaceae.
CCAUCUGGUAUUAGAUUAGAUUUAAAGGACUGUUAUUAUGUUCCUAUAGCUAGUCGAAAUUUGAUUUUUGUGUCUGUGCUAGCACAGAAAGGUUCUAAAAUUUAUUUUAACAAAAAUUUUUAUUCUAUUUAUUUAUAAAAUAAAUUGAUUACAUGAAAUCUUUUAAUUGACAGUCUUUAUCACUUGCAUAUUGAUGUGAAUGUAAACCUAAA